RNAcentral lists this ribosomal RNA (442 nucleotides) under uncultured bacterium. RNAcentral describes it as "bacterial SSU rRNA". It matches the Rfam family "Bacterial small subunit ribosomal RNA", at positions 28 to 492 of the family's 1533-position model. The record is from RNAcentral.
GACGAACGCUGGCGGCGUGCUUAACACAUGCAAGUCGAACGGUAAGGCCCUUCGGGUACGACGAGUGGCGAACGGGUGAGUAACACGUGGGUGAUCUGCCCUGCACUUCGGGAUAAGCCUGGGAAACUGGGUCUAAUACCGGAUAGGACCAUGGACUUCACGGUUUGUGGUGGAAAGCUUUUGCGGUGUGGGAUGGGCCCGCGGCCUAUCAGCUUGUUGGUGGGGUAAUGGCCUACCAAGGCGACGACGGGUAGCCGGCCUGAGAGGGUGUCCGGCCACACUGGGACUGAGAUACGGCCCAGACUCCUACGGGAGGCAGCAGUGGGGAAUAUUGCACAAUGGGCGCAAGCCUGAUGCAGCGACGCCGCGUGAGGGAUGACGGCCUUCGGGUUGUAAACCUCUUUCAAUAGGGACGACAGUGACGGUACCUGACUAAGAAGAC